CCGCUGCUUUGAAAUUGAAUUUUCCGUUGCAAUUCGCUAUUUGGAUUUGAAGGCGGUUUUCAUCUAUUUAUUAUCUAAUUAUAGUGCUUUAUUGUGUGUGAAUGUUUUUGUAAACAAUAUAUUAUAAAAGCAAUCAUUUAGUGUUUACCAGUUUAAACGUGUAAUUGUUUUCUUCGUAUAGUUUGGUUUAUUUGAUAAUAUAAUGGUUUAUAAGUGCUCUGUUCCACGGUGCAGUACUCGAGGCCGAGACAAAAAUCCUACUCAUUGGCAACCAAAGGGCAAAGUGGGAGUAUAUUGAGAGACUUUAUAAAGUGGAUGGUUUUGGUGGCAGAGCAAGAAGCACCAAACUUACUGAGAAGCACAUAAAUCCAACUUCAUAUGACAAAAUGAAGGUCAAAUUUGCAGCCCAAGUUUUUAGCCGGCAAGUGGCUACAUCACUAGAAAUCCAGAUGAAGUCUCUGCUAUCUCUCAAGGAUCAUGAUUACAUAAGUUUAAAUAAAGACAUUGGAAAUGGUUUGUUCACAGCAGAAAUUCUUCUUUUUAUAAAUAAUUUCUUUGAUAGUUUAAAUGGUCUUGGUCAUUAUGGGAAUAAGUUAAAACAUGCUCUUUCAUAUAAUUCGGAGCACAUUGGAAUGAUGCUGUGAAAAAGCUAGCUUCAAUGCGCUUUGACGCUUCCAAUGAAAGGGAAAGGAAGCCUUUAUCACUGAAGCAUUUUGAACAUAAUAUAAAAACAAUAAAACAUUUGUGGUCAGAUCUGCUGAGAAUUGAUGGUGUUAAAUUUUUAAGUCUUAGACGUCUUAAUCAAGAUCCGAUAGAAAACUUUUUGGUCAUAUAAGGGCACAUGGUAAUUUUAGUACAAAUCCUAAUUGUACUCACUUUGUAUCGGCUUUUAAAACCUUGUUGAUUAACAACAUUACUACCGGUAAAUCUUUAUACACUAAUUGUUCUGAUGAUGAUGACAAAAUGUUGGGAACAUUAAACAUUUAGUCAGCCACCAAAAAUAUGGUUCAUACACUGAUAGUCUUCAAUGUAAUGAAACUAACUUUAUAGAAAUUUCUAUACCUAACGAGAAUAUAUUCCAACAUAU
Molecule: long non-coding RNA, 1087 nt
Filed under: Manduca sexta (tobacco hornworm)
Lineage: Eukaryota; Metazoa; Arthropoda; Insecta; Lepidoptera; Sphingidae
Description: uncharacterized LOC119193233
Source: RNAcentral